CUUGUCCUCCUUCUGCCCGAAAAUACGUGUCGGAGAAAUGGAUACAAAUGGAUGUAUCUAGAGCUAAAAUAUGUCUAGAUACAUCCAUGCCUUCCACAAGAAUUUCGGACGGAGGGAGUAAUAA
Molecule: non-coding RNA, 124 nt
Organism: Triticum aestivum (bread wheat)
Lineage: Eukaryota; Viridiplantae; Streptophyta; Magnoliopsida; Poales; Poaceae
Source: Rfam